GAUGAACGCUGGCGGCGUGCCUAAUACAUGCAAGUCGAGCGAACAGAUGAGGAGCUUGCUCCUCUGACGUUAGCGGCGGACGGGUGAGUAACACGUGGAUAACCUACCUAUAAGACUGGGAUAACUUCGGGAAACCGGAGCUAAUACCGGAUAAUAUAUUGAACCGCAUGGUUCAAUAGUGAAAGACGGUUUUGCUGUCACUUAUAGAUGGAUCCGCGCCGCAUUAGCUAGUUGGUAAGGUAACGGCUUACCAAGGCAACGAUGCGUAGCCGACCUGAGAGGGUGAUCGGCCACACUGGAACUGAGACACGGUCCAGACUCCUACGGGAGGCAGCAGUAGGGAAUCUUCCGCAAUGGGCGAACGCCUGACGGAGCAACGCCGCGUGAGUGAUGAAGGUCUUCGGAUCGUAAAACUCUGUUAUUGGGGAAGAACAAAUGUGUAAGUAACUAUGCACGUCUUGACGGUACCUAAUCAGAAAGCCACGGCUAACUACGUG
This 497-nucleotide ribosomal RNA is filed under the name uncultured bacterium. Its description in RNAcentral is "partial 16S ribosomal RNA". It matches the Rfam family "Bacterial small subunit ribosomal RNA", at positions 28 to 507 of the family's 1533-position model. The record is from RNAcentral.